This 468-nucleotide ribosomal RNA is filed under the name uncultured bacterium. RNAcentral describes it as "partial 16S ribosomal RNA". It matches the Rfam family "Bacterial small subunit ribosomal RNA", at positions 28 to 507 of the family's 1533-position model. The record is from RNAcentral.
GACGAACGCUGGCGGCGUGCUUAACACAUGCAAGUCGAACGGAAAGGCCCUGCUUUUGUGGGGUGCUCGAUUGGCGAACGGGUGAGUAACACGUGAGUAACCUGCCCUUGACUUUGGGAUAACUUCAGGAAACUGGGGCUAAUACCGGAUAGGAGCUCCUGCUGCAUGGUGUUGGUUGGAAAGUUUCGGCGGUUGGGGAUGGUCUCGCGGCUUAUCAGCUUGUUGGUGGGGUAGUGGCUUACCAAGGCUUUGACGGGUAGCCGGCCUGAGAGGGUGACCGGCCACAUGGGGACUGAGAGAGGGCCCAGACUCCUACGGGAGGCAGCAGUGGGGAAUAUUGCACAAUGGGCGGAAGCCUGAUGCAGAAGCGCCGCGUGCGGGAUGACGGCCUUCGGGUUGUAAACCGAUUUCGCCUGUGACGAAGCGUGAGUGACGGUAAUGGGUAAAGAAGCACCGGCUAACUACGUG